AGAAGGAAGUGCAGAUGGUGAAUGAAAUGGCCAACAAAGGGCAAUAUGAAAGAAUGGAAGACUCAGAUCCUGCUGAGUGUGUGUAAGGCCACCAGGCUAUGCCGGUGCCAACGAGGGGGCUGUGCAGCUCAGUCCAUAUCCAAGGUGCCAGUGGCAGCUGUGCAGAGACACCAGCUCUGCAUGUGCUGCUGAGGAAACCUGGGACCUGUGAGGGACUCUCUGCACACCUGCUCAGAGGCCACUGUCACACCAGUGCAGCUCCCUGGUGUUGGAGAAGGUAUUAGGGGCUGAAAACUGAUGUUGCAGCAAGCCCUGAAAGCAUAGCUAUACUCGGGUCCUGAGAAUGACAAGUUCAGAUGUGGACAACUCCUGUGUAAAUACCAGGGUGAAGCCUGUCAAAGUCCACACCAGUUCGGCUGGAUUGUUAAGCUUAUCAGAGUUUGAGUUGAUGGGCAUGCAGGGAAAGAUAGACAGGGUUUAGGCACCCGCUUGUGCAUUUACCCCAACUGAAAUGCCUAAAGCACAUGUCUAGAGCAUGUGGCUGAGAAGGUUUUACGACUGGAUUUCCUGAGCUGUUGUGUUAAAUGGCAAGUUUGAGGCUACAUAUUUUCUACAAUAAUUAAGGGAGACAUAAUCCAUUGUAAGUUAAGAAACC
Neopelma chrysocephalum (saffron-crested tyrant-manakin) is the source of this 655-nucleotide long non-coding RNA. RefSeq lists it as uncharacterized. NCBI's taxonomy places the organism in Eukaryota, Metazoa, Chordata, Aves, Passeriformes, Pipridae. The transcript is spliced from 5 exons. The record is from RefSeq and is a predicted model, not a curated record.